GNCCUGGGGAGUACGGUCGCAAGAUUAAAACUCAAAGGAAUNGACGGGGACCCGCACAAGCGGUGGAUGAUGUGGAUUAAUUCGAUGCAACGCGAAAAACCUUACCUACCCUUGACAUGUAUGGAAUCCUGCUGAGAGGUGGGAGUGCCCGAAAGGGAGCCAUAACACAGGUGCUGCAUGGCUGUCGUCAGCUCGUGUCGUGAGAUGUUGGGUUAAGUCCCGCAACGAGCGCAACCCUUGUCCCUAGUUGCUACGCAAGAGCACUCUAGGGAGACUGCCGGUGACAAAUCCGGAGGAAGGUGGGGAUGACGUCAAGUCCUCAUGGCCCUUAUGGGUAGGGCUUCACACGUCAUACAAUGGUCGGAACAGAGGGUCGCCAACCCGCCGAGGGGGAGCCAAUCCCAGAAAACCGAUCGUAGUCCGGAUCGCACUCUGCAACUCGAGUGCGUGAAGCUGGAAUCGCUAGUAAUCGCGGAUCAGCAU
This 483-nucleotide ribosomal RNA is filed under the name Burkholderiaceae bacterium L845_HEt. RNAcentral describes it as "bacterial SSU rRNA". It matches the Rfam family "Bacterial small subunit ribosomal RNA", at positions 870 to 1355 of the family's 1533-position model. Lineage: Bacteria; Pseudomonadati; Pseudomonadota; Betaproteobacteria; Burkholderiales; Burkholderiaceae. The record is from RNAcentral.